RNAcentral lists this ribosomal RNA (292 nucleotides) under uncultured bacterium. RNAcentral's name for it is "partial 16S ribosomal RNA". It matches the Rfam family "Bacterial small subunit ribosomal RNA", at positions 505 to 796 of the family's 1533-position model. The record is from RNAcentral.
GUGCCAGCAGCCGCGGUAACACGGGGGGAGCAAGCGUUGUUCGGAAUCACUGGGCGUAAAGGGCGUGUAGGCGGUCAGGUAAGUGGAAUGUGAAAGCCCUCGGCUCACCCGAGGAUCGGCAUCCCAAACUGCCUGGCUUGAGUAUGGGAGAGGACAGGGGAAUUCCUGGUGUAGCGGUGAAAUGCGUAGAUAUCAGGAGGAACACCGGUGGCGAAAGCGCCUGUCUGGCCCAAUACUGACGCUGAUGCGCGAAAGCUAGGGGAGCAAACGGGAUUAGAUACCCCAGUAGUCC